AGUCAAUGAAUAGCAUCCGAACAUCGAAUCUGCAUAGCAUCGAGAAAUAGUUGAAUUAAAGAACUAUUUGUACAGUAUUAUCUCAAGCUACAAUCCACAAUAUACCAUCAAAAUAAACAAGCACUUGACUCUCCAAGACGAUCUCUUGCAACAAAUCCUAACGGGCUCAACUGAUUACAUAACACCCAUGAAUCUCAGCACUAUCCUGGCCAUGGAUUCUUAAACAUUGCCAAACCCUAUCCAUUUCAAACCUGGACAGGAUUAAUCAAAUAAAAAAAUCAAUUUACUCUAAUUCAAAAAAAAAUUGAAAUAUUCUUGGUUCUUACCUCAUGGCACAUGUGCUUUAUUUGUUUCCUUGCAAGAACCAAAUGUACCAAAACAGCGCAGCACGGGGAAGAAAAAGAGGAAGAAGAAAGCUGCGGCGGCCGAAGGUUUAAGAGCUUACUGUGGAUUAGGGUUCUGCGGAGCCGCCCACGUUUGAAAUGGAAAAGCUUGUUUGAGACCACAUUUAAGAGAAAAUGAGAAAUUUGGUAGCCUUCACAAGCCAACGAGAAAAGCAAAAUCAAAGGAAAAGAUGAAAAUCACCAAGCUUUAAAAACAAAACGGGUUCAACUGAAUGGAGUUGGCAGAAGAAAGCUGAAAUUAACCUAUUGCUAAUGAAAAUCAUGGAGACUAAGCAGAAAUUAGGUCCAGAAAUUAAAAUAAAAUAAAAAAAGAAAAGGCAGAGGAGAGGAGGGGCGGCGCUGUCUCUGCAAAUGGGAAUGAUGCUGUAGAGUAAAGGGAAGGAGGAAAGGGAGUAGCUGAAUGGAGUUGGCAGAAGAAAGCAGAAAUUAACCUAUUGCUAAUGAAAAUGAUGGAGGCUAAGCAGAAAUUAGGUCCAGAAAUUAUUAAAAAAAAAGGCAGAGGAGAGGAGGGGCGGCGCCGUCUCUGCAAAUGGGAAUGAUGUUGUAGAGUAAAGGGAAGGAGGAAAGGGAGUAAUGGAGGUAUACGGAUAGGGCAAGGGAGAGCAAAGGGGAAAGAAGGGAGAGCAGGAGGAAGAGCGGCGGGAGAUAAGAUACGAUACUCUUAGGGUUAGAAAUUAGAAAAAAAAAAAAAAAAGAGGAGGAGGAAGAGAACCAAACGGUUGGACCCCUGCAACCCAGAGAACGCGAGAGACCGACGAUCGAUGCUCCUUGCGUGGUAAGAAGAGAAACGGAUAUCUUGACAGGCUCUUGUACCAGGGCUAGAGGAUAAGAAACAGAGCAACAUUGUGCAAAAGAAGGAGAG
RNAcentral lists this long non-coding RNA (1266 nucleotides) under Coffea arabica (coffee). Its description in RNAcentral is "long non-coding RNA (CARA_LNC000826)". The record is from RNAcentral. Lineage: Eukaryota; Viridiplantae; Streptophyta; Magnoliopsida; Gentianales; Rubiaceae.